ACGGAAGGCAGCAGUGGGGAAUAUUGCACAAUGGGAGAAAUCCUGAUGCAGCGACGCCGCGUGAGUGAAGAAGUAUUUCGGUAUGUAAAGCUCUAUCAGCAGGGAAGAUAAUGACGGUACCUGACUAAGAAGCUCCGGCUAAAUACGUGCCAGCAGCCGCGGUAAUACGUAUGGAGCAAGCGUUAUCCGGAUUUACUGGGUGUAAAGGGUGCGUAGGUGGCAGGGCAAGUCAGAUGUGAAAGACCGGGGCUCAACUCCGGGGCUGCAUUUGAAACUGUCUUGCUGGAGUGCAGGAGGGGCAAGCGGAAUUCCUAGUGUAGCGGUGAAAUGCGUAGAUAUUAGGAGGAACACCGGUGGCGAAGGCGGCUUGCUGGACUGAUACUGACACUGAGGCACGAAAGCGUGGGGAGCAAACAGGAUUAGAUACCCUGGUA
RNAcentral lists this ribosomal RNA (434 nucleotides) under uncultured Lachnospiraceae bacterium. RNAcentral describes it as "bacterial SSU rRNA". It matches the Rfam family "Bacterial small subunit ribosomal RNA", at positions 341 to 792 of the family's 1533-position model. Lineage: Bacteria; Bacillati; Bacillota; Clostridia; Lachnospirales; Lachnospiraceae. The record is from RNAcentral.